UAACACGUAUGCAAUCCACCUGUAACAGGGGGAUAACCCGGAGAAAUCCGGACUAAUACCCCAUAAUAUGGGUUCUCCGCAUGGAGGGUCCAUUAAAGAGAGCAAUUUUGGUUCCAGACGAGCAUGCGCUCCAUUAGCCAGUUGGCGGGGUAACGGCCCACCAAAGCGACGAUGGAUAGGGGUUCUGAGAGGAAGGUCCCCCACAUUGGAACUGAGACACGGUCCAAACUCCUACGGGAGGCAGCAGUGAGGAAUAUUGGUCAAUGGUCGGCAGACUGAACCAGCCAAGUCGCGUGAGGGAAGACGGCCCUACGGGUUGUAAACCUCUUUUGUCGGAGAGUAAAGU
Molecule: ribosomal RNA, 346 nt
Filed under: uncultured bacterium
Lineage: Bacteria
Description: bacterial SSU rRNA
Rfam family: Bacterial small subunit ribosomal RNA
Source: RNAcentral